GACGAACGCUGGCGGCGUGCUUAACACAUGCAAGUCGAACGGAAAGGCCCUGCUUUUGUGGGGUGCUCGAGUGGCGAACGGGUGAGUAACACGUGAGUAACCUGCCCUUGACUUGGGGAUAACUUCAGGAAACUGGGGCUAAUACCGGAUAGGAGCUCCUGCUGCAUGGUGGGGGUUGGAAAGUUUCGGCGGUUGGGGAUGGACUCGCGGCUUAUCAGCUUGUUGGUGGGGUAGUGGCUUACCAAGGCUUUGACGGGUAGCCGGCCUGAGAGGGUGACCGGCGACAUUGGGACUGAGAUACGGACCAGACUCCUACGGGAGGCAGCAGUGGGGAAUAUUGCACAAUGGGCGGAAGCCUGAUGCAGCAACGCCGCGUGCGGGAUGACGGCCUUCGGGUUGUAAACCGCUUUCGCCUGUGACGAAGCGUGAGUGACGGUAAUGGGUAAAGAAGCACCGGCUAACUACGUG
This 468-nucleotide ribosomal RNA is filed under the name uncultured bacterium. RNAcentral describes it as "partial 16S ribosomal RNA". It matches the Rfam family "Bacterial small subunit ribosomal RNA", at positions 28 to 507 of the family's 1533-position model. The record is from RNAcentral.